UACGAAGGUCCCAAGCGUUGUUCGGAAUCACUGGGCGUAAAGGGAGCGUAGGCGGCGUGGUAAGUCAGAUGUGAAAUCCCGGGGCUCAACCUCGGAACUGCCUUUGAUACUGAUGGUCUCGAGUCCGGAAGAGGUGAGUGGAAUUCCUAGUGUAGAGGUGAAAUUCGUAGAUAUUAGGAAGAACACCAGUGGCGAAGGCGGCUCACUGGUCCGGUACUGACGCUGAGGUGCGAAAGCGUGGGGAGCAAACAGG
This 253-nucleotide ribosomal RNA is filed under the name uncultured bacterium. RNAcentral describes it as "partial 16S ribosomal RNA". It matches the Rfam family "Bacterial small subunit ribosomal RNA", at positions 524 to 776 of the family's 1533-position model. The record is from RNAcentral.